RNAcentral lists this ribosomal RNA (377 nucleotides) under uncultured bacterium. RNAcentral's name for it is "bacterial SSU rRNA". It matches the Rfam family "Bacterial small subunit ribosomal RNA", at positions 521 to 896 of the family's 1533-position model. The record is from RNAcentral.
UAAUACGUAGGGGGCGAGCGUUGUCCGGAUUCAUUGGGCGUAAAGCGCGCGUAGGCGGCUUCGUAAGUCGGCCGUGAAAUCUCCAGGCUUAACUUGGAGGGGUCGGGCGAGACUGCGGAGCUCGAGGUGGGCAGAGGGCAGUGGAAUUCCGGGUGUAGUGGUGGAAUGCGUAGAGAUCCGGAGGAACACCAGUGGCGAAGGCGGCUGCCUGGGCCUGGCCUGACGCUGAGGCGCGAAAGCGUGGGGAGCGAUCCGGAUUAGAUACCCGGGUAGUCCACGCCGUAAACGAUGGGCACUAGGUGUCGGGGGUAUCGACCCCCUCGGUGCCGCCGCUAACGCAAUAAGUGCCCCGCCUGGGGAGUACGGCCGCAAGGCUA